This 339-nucleotide non-coding RNA is filed under the name Betula platyphylla (Asian white birch). The record is from RNAcentral. Lineage: Eukaryota; Viridiplantae; Streptophyta; Magnoliopsida; Fagales; Betulaceae.
AAAAAUUGUUGGUUCAAGCGGCUCAACCCACUAGGCAUUUAUGGGUAGGCAGCGCACCGACUCGUUAUCCUUCCACUGCCGUGAGCGGGUAGUUUUCGUUGCUCUGUGAAGCCAGCCUGACGCAGUGCCCACCUCUCUAGGAGCCACCUGAGUCAGGCCAACGCCCAAUUCAGAUGGCUCAACUCACAGCUUGGAACGGGCGGACCAGCAACAUGCACCCGCAAACCCUGCCAAGGGAGCCGAACCGAUGUUCCAACAAUUCAGUGCCCUCACUCGAGUUACAAGCUAGCGCGACCUAGCUCGGCGGCGAACAUGGUUCUUAGCUUGGUUAUAAAGCGA